Gossypium raimondii (Peruvian cotton) is the source of this 526-nucleotide long non-coding RNA. RefSeq lists it as uncharacterized. The transcript has 2 exons. The record is from RefSeq and is a predicted model, not a curated record. NCBI's taxonomy places the organism in Eukaryota, Viridiplantae, Streptophyta, Magnoliopsida, Malvales, Malvaceae.
GUCGCAAAUUAAUUAUAAAACAAAAUAAACAGAAUUAAAAAAAAACCUGAUAGCCACUUUAGAAAAGAAUGGCGAACACUAGCCACAGCGCCGUUUAGAAAUCAGGCCGCUCUAAGGCCUUUCGAGCCUCACCAGAACUUCGAUCGCGACGGAGCGGGUUGAGAUUCAACAACACCAGGUGCAUGGAGGCGCGAUGACGUGGAGGUGCAACACGCGCAGAGGCCUAAUUCCCAGCUGCGGCGCGGACUAUUCCAGAAACCCUAGGGGUUUCUGGAGAUUUCAAAUUGGGCCACUUCAAAUCGGGCUAGGGUUUAAUUCGGUCUAGGAUUGUAUUGGGUCUAGGAUUGGGUCAGAUUUUGGGUUUAAGUUAUUAGGCUUUGGAUUUUGGGCCAUACGGGCCUAUUGUAACUGGACUGUUAUGUUUAUUGGACUUUUUAUUUGUUUUAUAUUUUUUUUGUUUGUGAGGGCCGGGCAGAAUUUGAGUUUUACAGGAAGAAUAUGAUAGUUCUUUUUAUGUUUAAAAGUA